RNAcentral lists this ribosomal RNA (677 nucleotides) under Campylobacter jejuni. Its description in RNAcentral is "bacterial SSU rRNA". It matches the Rfam family "Bacterial small subunit ribosomal RNA", at positions 23 to 715 of the family's 1533-position model. Lineage: Bacteria; Pseudomonadati; Campylobacterota; Epsilonproteobacteria; Campylobacterales; Campylobacteraceae. The record is from RNAcentral.
CUCAGAGUGAACGCUGGCGGCGUGCCUAAUACAUGCAAGUCGAACGAUGAAGCUUUUAGCUUGCUAGAAGUGGAUUAGUGGCGCACGGGUGAGUAAGGUAUAGUUAAUCUGCCCUACACAAGAGGACAACAGUUGGAAACGACUGCUAAUACUCUAUACUCCUGCUUAACAUAAGUUGAGUAGGGAAAGUUUUUCGGUGUAGGAUGAGACUAUAUAGUAUCAGCUAGUUGGUAAGGUAAUGGCUUACCAAGGCUAUGACGCUUAACUGGUCUGAGAGGAUGAUCAGUCACACUGGAACUGAGACACGGUCCAGACUCCUACGGGAGGCAGCAGUAGGGAAUAUUGCGCAAUGGGGGAAACCCUGACGCAGCAACGCCGCGUGGAGGAUGACACUUUUCGGAGCGUAAACUCCUUUUCUUAGGGAAGAAUUCUGACGGUACCUAAGGAAUAAGCACCGGCUAACUCCGUGCCAGCAGCCGCGGUAAUACGGAGGGUGCAAGCGUUACUCGGAAUCACUGGGCGUAAAGGGCGCGUAGGCGGAUUAUCAAGUCUCUUGUGAAAUCUAAUGGCUUAACCAUUAAACUGCUUGGGAAACUGAUAGUCUAGAGUGAGGGAGAGGCAGAUGGAAUUGGUGGUGUAGGGGUAAAAUCCGUAGAUAUCACCAAGAAUACCCAUUG